This 253-nucleotide ribosomal RNA is filed under the name uncultured bacterium. RNAcentral's name for it is "partial 16S ribosomal RNA". It matches the Rfam family "Bacterial small subunit ribosomal RNA", at positions 524 to 776 of the family's 1533-position model. The record is from RNAcentral.
GACAGAGGAGCCAAGCGUUGUCCGGAUUGACUGGGCGUAAAGCGUCCGCAGGUGGCAGUUCAAGUCUGCUGUCAAAGACCGGGGCUUAACUUCGGAAAGGCAGUGGAAACUGAACAGCUAGAGUAUGGUAGGGGCAGAGGGAAUUCCUGGUGUAGCGGUGAAAUGCGUAGAGAUCAGGAAGAACAUCGGUGGCGAAGGCGCUCUGCUGGACCAUAACUGACACUCAGGGACGAAAGCUAGGGGAGCGAAUGGG